RNAcentral lists this ribosomal RNA (398 nucleotides) under uncultured bacterium. RNAcentral describes it as "bacterial SSU rRNA". It matches the Rfam family "Bacterial small subunit ribosomal RNA", at positions 28 to 423 of the family's 1533-position model. The record is from RNAcentral.
GACGAACGCUGGCGGCGUGCUUAACACAUGCAAGUCGAACGGUGAAGGAAGAGCUUGCUCUUCCGGAUCAGUGGCGAACGGGUGAGUAACACGUGGGCAACCUGCCCCUGACUCUGGGAUAACUCCUCGAAAGAGGUGCUAAUACCGGAUACGACCACUUCGGACAUCCGAUGGUGGUGGAAAGUUUUUCGGUCAGGGAUGGGCCCGCGGCCUAUCAGCUAGUUGGUGGGGUAAUGGCCUACCAAGGCGACGACGGGUAGCCGGCCUGAGAGGGCGACCGGCCACACUGGGACUGAGACACGGCCCAGACUCCUACGGGAGGCAGCAGUGGGGAAUAUUGCGCAAUGGGCGAAAGCCUGACGCAGCGACGCCGCGUGAGGGGAUGAAGGCCUUCGGUU